RNAcentral lists this ribosomal RNA (254 nucleotides) under uncultured bacterium. RNAcentral's name for it is "partial 16S ribosomal RNA". It matches the Rfam family "Bacterial small subunit ribosomal RNA", at positions 524 to 776 of the family's 1533-position model. The record is from RNAcentral.
UACGUAGGGCGCAAGCGUUGUCCGGAAUUAUUGGGCGUAAAGAGCUCGUAGGCGGUCUGUCACGUCUGCCGUGAAAACCCGAGGCUUAACCUCGUGGCUUGCGGUGGAUACGGGCAGACUAGAGGUAGGUAGGGGAGAACGGAAUUCCCGGUGUAGCGGUGAAAUGCGCAGAUAUCGGGAGGAACACCGGUGGCGAAGGCGGUUCUCUGGGCCUUACCUGACGCUGAGGAGCGAAAGCGUGGGGAGCAAACAGG